UACGUAGGGGGCAAGCGUUGUCCGGAUUUAUUGGGCGUAAAGAGCUCGUAGGCGGUUUGUCGCGUCGUCCGUGAAAACUCACAGCUUAACUGUGAGCUUGCGGUCGAUACGGGCAGGCUAGAGUUCGGUAGGGGAGACUGGAAUUCCUGGUGUAGCGGUGAAAUGCGCAGAUAUCAGGAGGAACACCGAUGGCGAAGGCAGAUCUCUGGGCCGUAACUGACGCUGAGGCGCGAAGGCGUGGGGAGCGAACGGG
Molecule: ribosomal RNA, 253 nt
Filed under: uncultured bacterium
Lineage: Bacteria
Description: partial 16S ribosomal RNA
Rfam family: Bacterial small subunit ribosomal RNA
Source: RNAcentral